This 35-nucleotide ribosomal RNA is filed under the name Quercus suber. Its description in RNAcentral is "partial 25S ribosomal RNA". The record is from RNAcentral. Lineage: Eukaryota; Viridiplantae; Streptophyta; Magnoliopsida; Fagales; Fagaceae.
CGCGCCCCGUCGCCCGAACGCGCUCUUGCGACCCU